UUAAGCGACUAAGCGUACACGGUGGAUGCCCUGGCAGUCAGAGGCGAUGAAGGACGUGCUAAUCUGCGAAAAGCGUCGGUAAGGUGAUAUGAACCGUUACAGCCGGCGAUGUCCGAAUGGGGAAACCCAGUGUGAUUCGUCACACUAUCGUUAACUGAAUACAUAGGUUAACGAGGCGAACCGGGGGAACUGAAACAUCUAAGUACCCCGAGGAAAAGAAAUCAACCGAGAUUCCCCCAGUAGCGGCGAGCGAACGGGGAGCAGCCCAGAGUCUGAAUCAGCUUGUGUGUUAGUGGAACGGUCUGGAAAGUCCGACGGUACAGGGUGAUAGUCCCGUACACCAAAAUGCACAGGCUGUGAACUCGAAGAGUAGGGCGGGACACGUGGUAUCCUGUCUGAAUAUGGGGGGACCAUCCUCCAAGGCUAAAUACUCCUGACUGACCGAUAGUGAACCAGUACCGUGAGGGAAAGGCGAAAAGAACCCCGGCGAGGGGAGUGAAAAAGAACCUGAAACCGUGUACGUACAAGCAGUGGGAGCACCUUCGGGUGUGACUGCGUACCUUUUGUAUAAUGGGUCAGCGACUUAUAUUCUGUAGCAAGGUUAACCGUAUAGGGGAGCCGCAGGGAAACCGAGUCUUAACUGGGCGUUAAGUUGCAGGGUAUAGACCCGAAACCCGGUGAUCUAGCCAUGGGCAGGUUGAAGGUUGGGUAACACUAACUGGAGGACCGAACCGACUAAUGUUGAAAAAUUAGCGGAUGACUUGUGGCUGGGGGUGAAAGGCCAAUCAAACCGGGAGAUAGCUGGUUCUCCCCGAAAGCUAUUUAGGUAGCGCCUCGUGAACUCAUCUUCGGGGGUAGAGCACUGUUUCGGCUAGGGGGUCAUCCCGACUUACCAACCCGAUGCAAACUACGAAUACCGAAGAAUGUUAUCACGGGAGACACACGGCGGGUGCUAACGUCCGUCGUGAAGAGGGAAACAACCCAGACCGCCAGCUAAGGUCCCAAAGUCAUGGUUAAGUGGGAAACGAUGUGGGAAGGCACAGACAGCCAGGAUGUUGGCUUAGAAGCAGCCAUCAUUUAAAGAAAGCGUAAUAGCUCACUGGUCGAGUCGGCCUGCGCGGAAGAUGUAACGGGGCUAAACCAUGCACCGAAGCUGCGGCAGCGACACUAUGUGUUGUUGGGUAGGGGAGCGUUCUGUAAGCCUGCGAAGGUGUGCUGUGAGGCAUGCUGGAGGUAUCAGAAGUGCGAAUGCUGACAUAAGUAACGAUAAAGCGGGUGAAAAGCCCGCUCGCCGGAAGACCAAGGGUUCCUGUCCAACGUUAAUCGGGGCAGGGUGAGUCGACCCCUAAGGCGAGGCCGAAAGGCGUAGUCGAUGGGAAACAGGUUAAUAUUCCUGUACUUGGUGUUACUGCGAAGGGGGGACGGAGAAGGCUAUGUUAGCCGGGCGACGGUUGUCCCGGUUUAAGCAUGUAGGCUGAUUGUCCAGGCAAAUCCGGAUAAUCAAGGCUGAGGUGUGAUGACGAGGCACUACGGUGCUGAAGUAACAAAUGCCCUGCUUCCAGGAAAAGCCUCUAAGCAUCAGGUAACAUCAAAUCGUACCCCAAACCGACACAGGUGGUCAGGUAGAGAAUACCAAGGCGCUUGAGAGAACUCGGGUGAAGGAACUAGGCAAAAUGGUGCCGUAACUUCGGGAGAAGGCACGCUGGUGUGUAGGUGAAGUCCCUGCGGAUGGAGCUGAGACCAGUCGAAGAUACCAGCUGGCUGCAACUGUUUAUUAAAAACACAGCACUGUGCAAACACGAAAGUGGACGUAUACGGUGUGACGCCUGCCCGGUGCCGGAAGGUUAAUUGAUGGGGUUAUCCGUAAGGAGAAGCUCUUGAUCGAAGCCCCGGUAAACGGCGGCCGUAACUAUAACGGUCCUAAGGUAGCGAAAUUCCUUGUCGGGUAAGUUCCGACCUGCACGAAUGGCGUAAUGAUGGCCAGGCUGUCUCCACCCGAGACUCAGUGAAAUUGAACUCGCUGUGAAGAUGCAGUGUACCCGCGGCAAGACGGAAAGACCCCGUGAACCUUUACUAUAGCUUGACACUGAACAUUGAGCCUUGAUGUGUAGGAUAGGUGGGAGGCUUUGAAGCGUGGACGCCAGUCUGCGUGGAGCCAACCUUGAAAUACCACCCUUUAAUGUUUGAUGUUCUAACGUUGGCCCCUUACCGGGGUUGCGGACAGUGUCUGGUGGGUAGUUUGACUGGGGCGGUCUCCUCCCAAAGCGUAACGGAGGAGCACGAAGGUUAGCUAAUCCUGGUCGGACAUCAGGAGGUUAGUGCAAUGGCAUAAGCUAGCUUGACUGCGAGCGUGACGGCGCGAGCAGGUGCGAAAGCAGGUCAUAGUGAUCCGGUGGUUCUGAAUGGAAGGGCCAUCGCUCAACGGAUAAAAGGUACUCCGGGGAUAACAGGCUGAUACCGCCCAAGAGUUCAUAUCGACGGCGGUGUUUGGCACCUCGAUGUCGGCUCAUCACAUCCUGGGGCUGAAGUAGGUCCCAAGGGUAUGGCUGUUCGCCAUUUAAAGUGGUACGCGAGCUGGGUUUAGAACGUCGUGAGACAGUUCGGUCCCUAUCUGCCGUGGGCGCUGGAGAAUUGAGGGGGGCUGCUCCUAGUACGAGAGGACCGGAGUGGACGCAUCACUGGUGUUCGGGUUGUCAUGCCAAUGGCACUGCCCGGUAGCUAAAUGCGGAAGAGAUAAGUGCUGAAAGCAUCUAAGCACGAAACUUGCCCCGAGAUGAGUUCUCCCUGAGACUUUAAGUCUCCUGAAGGAACGUUAAAGACGAUGACGUUGAUAGGCCGGGUGUGUAAGCGCAGCGAUGCGUUGAGCUAACCGGUACUAAUGAACCGUGAGGCUUAACCUU
This 2900-nucleotide ribosomal RNA is filed under the name Klebsiella pneumoniae. Its description in RNAcentral is "bacterial LSU rRNA". It matches the Rfam family "Bacterial large subunit ribosomal RNA". RNAcentral also lists the same sequence under 1 other name. Lineage: Bacteria; Pseudomonadati; Pseudomonadota; Gammaproteobacteria; Enterobacterales; Enterobacteriaceae. The record is from RNAcentral.